UUUCGUUUCAUACAAACAAUUCUUUCAAUCAAACGCGUGAGUUGAAUCCAUCUUGGAACCAGAACCAGUGUUUCUGGAUUGUUUUGAUAUUUUGUGUAGAAACAAAUUAAAUCCAUAAAAAUUCCUGAUAAAUUUCCUACGACAAAAAAAAUAUGGGACACAAACGAAGUUUGGACAAUGCCAAUAAUAAUGUUGAUGGUGAUCAAGAAUGUUCCACCAAUCCUAUUGAUCAACAGCCAUCGGCGAAGAAAAUGAAAACAUCGAAAAAAAUGAAUGGAUCAAUUCAACUUGAAGAUACUAUUGAAGAUGUGUCAGUGAAAAAAGAAGAAAAUGAAGAAAAUGUUGAAAUUGUACCACGAACACGUCGUGACAUGAUACAAUUACCGUAUGAUCAGAAAUUGAAAUUUGUUUCGAUUAUUGCUCAACCGAUGGCUGGAAAAAAAUUGGCUAAAAAAUUAUUCAAAUUAAUGCGAAAAGCAAGUAAACAAUCGAGAAAAGAACAGCUACGUAUUGGAUUGAAAGAAGUACAGCUUCGUAUACGUAAAGGUGAACGUGGUAUUAUUGUAUUUGCUGGCGAUGUAACACCGAUCGAAAUAAUGUGCCAUUUACCUGGCAUUUGUGAAUCAAAAGAUUUGCCAUACAUUUAUGUACCAUUUCGUACGGACAUAUCAUCAGCCAUUGGUGUACGACGACCAGCUUUAAUGGUAUUGAUUAAAACACAUUCUGAAUAUCAAGAUUUAUAUGAUGAAUGUGAAACUAAAAUUCGUGAAUUGAUGCUAGAAUUUUUGAAAACCAUUUAAAUACCAUUCGAUUUGGCUUUUGGUCACCUGAUUACCAGAUGGUUUUUGAACAACAACAACAACAACAAAAUUAUCUCUUUGUUCCAGAAUAUGGAUGUGUGUGUGACAUAUUAUUUGGUCUAUGGAUGA
Molecule: RNA transcript, 929 nt
Organism: Dermatophagoides farinae (American house dust mite)
Lineage: Eukaryota; Metazoa; Arthropoda; Arachnida; Sarcoptiformes; Pyroglyphidae
Gene: NHP2
Gene name: NHP2 ribonucleoprotein
Source: RefSeq, a predicted model, not a curated record